GGGAUGACACAGUAGGAUAAGCUAAGCACACUGUUGGUUAUGUGUGCCCAAGCAUUGAGGCAGUCAAAGUAGGUAAAUCCGCUUUGAUAAUGCUGGGAUGUGAUGGGGAGCGAAAUUUAGUAGCGAAGUAGCUGAUUUCACACUGUCAAGAAAAGUCUCUAUCGAGGUUAAAGGUACCCGUACCGCAAACCGACACAGGUGGGUGAGGAGAGUAUCCUAAGGCCAGCGAGAGAACUGUUGUUAAGGAACUCGGCAAAAUGACCCCGUAACUUAGGGAUAAGGGGUGCCACCAUCAGGUGGCCGCAGAGAAUAGGCCCAAGCGACUGUUUACCAAAAACAUAGGUUUCUGCUAAGUCGCAAGACGAUGUAUAGGAGCUGACGCCUGCCCGGUGCUGGAAGGUUAAGGGGAUCUGUUAGAGCAAUCGAAGCAGUGAACUUAAGCCCCAGUAAACGGCGGCCGUAACUAUAACGGUCCUAAGGUAGCGAAAUUCCUUGUCGGGUAAGUUCCGACCCGCACGAAAGGCGUAACGAUUUGGGCACUGUCUCAACAACAGACUCGGUGAAAUUGUAAUUCCGGUGAAGAUGCCGGAUACCUGCGACAGGACGGAAAGACCCCAUGGAGCUUUACUGUAGCUUGACAUUGGGUCUUGGUACUACAUGUACAGGAUAGGUGGGAGGCUUUGAAACCAGGACGCCAGUUUUGGCGGAGCCAUCCUUGGGAUACCACCCUUGUAGUACUGGGACUCUAACCAUAGGCCAUGAAUCUGGUCUUGGGACACUGUCAGGUGGGCAGUUUGACUGGGGCGGUCGCCUCCCAAAAGGUAACGGAGGCGCUCAAAGGUUCUCUCAGUACGGUCGGAAAUCGUACGUAGAGUGUAAAGGCAAAAGAGAGCUUGAUUGCAAGACAUACAGGUCGAGCAAGGAUGAAAAUCGGACUUAGUGAUCCGGUGGUUCUGCGUGGAAGGGCCAUCGCUCAACGGAUAAAAGCUACCCUGGGGAUAACAGGCUUAUCUCCCCCAAGAGUCCACAUCGACGGGGAGGUUUGGCACCUCGAUGUCGGCUCAUCACAUCCUGGGGCUGUAGUAGGUCCCAAGGGUUGGGCUGUUCGCCCAUUAAAGUGGUACGCGAGCUGGGUUCAGAACGUCGUGAGACAGUUCGGUCCCUAUCCGUCGCAGGCGUAGGAAAUUUGAGAAGACCUGUCCUUAGUACGAGAGGACCGGGAUGGACG
RNAcentral lists this ribosomal RNA (1228 nucleotides) under Clostridioides difficile. RNAcentral describes it as "partial 23S ribosomal RNA". It matches the Rfam family "Bacterial large subunit ribosomal RNA", at positions 1466 to 2703 of the family's 2925-position model. The record is from RNAcentral. Lineage: Bacteria; Bacillati; Bacillota; Clostridia; Peptostreptococcales; Peptostreptococcaceae.